RNAcentral lists this ribosomal RNA (253 nucleotides) under uncultured bacterium. RNAcentral describes it as "partial 16S ribosomal RNA". It matches the Rfam family "Bacterial small subunit ribosomal RNA", at positions 524 to 776 of the family's 1533-position model. The record is from RNAcentral.
UACGAAGGGGGCUAGCGUUGCUCGGAAUGACUGGGCGUAAAGGGCGCGUAGGCGGCCGUUCAAGUCGGGGGUGAAAGCCUGUGGCUCAACCACAGAAUUGCCUUCGAUACUGGACGGCUCGAGACCGGAAGAGGUCAGUGGAACUGCGAGUGUAGAGGUGAAAUUCGUAGAUAUUCGCAAGAACACCAGUGGCGAAGGCGGCUGACUGGUCCGGUUCUGACGCUGAGGCGCGAAAGCGUGGGGAGCAAACAGG